This 253-nucleotide ribosomal RNA is filed under the name uncultured bacterium. RNAcentral describes it as "partial 16S ribosomal RNA". It matches the Rfam family "Bacterial small subunit ribosomal RNA", at positions 524 to 776 of the family's 1533-position model. The record is from RNAcentral.
UACGGAGGGAGCUAGCGUUGUUCGGAAUUACUGGGCGUAAAGCGCGCGUAGGCGGCUUUGUAAGUUAGAGGUGAAAGCCUGGAGCUCAACUUCAGAAUUGCCUUUAAGACUGCAUCGCUUGAAUCCGGGAGAGGUGAGUGGAAUUCCGAGUGUAGAGGUGAAAUUCGUAGAUAUUCGGAAGAACACCAGUGGCGAAGGCGGCCCGCUGGACAAGUAUUGACGCUGAGGUGCGAAAGCGUGGGGAGCAAACAGG